AGAGAGAGAGAGAGAGAGAGAUAGAAUGAAUCUGAUACAUGGGUGCGAUAGGUGUUCAGGUGGGGUGAGCGUUGAGGUGGGGGUGGUUGCCAGGGGGUUGAGAUAGGGAAAGGAGGAGGAGAAGUGGGGAAUUGUGUUUUUUUUUUUUCUUGUGAUGUUAUUUUAUUUGUUUAAUUAAUUUCUAGAGAAUAUAUAUAUGAGUGGGCUUCACAUAUUUAAUUAAAUAUUUUAUCCAUGUAGAGGUGGAAAAACUAUACAAUACUACCGUAGCACCAGCUGGUGUUGCUGCUUGGUACUACGGUCUAAUAAGAUUAACCCAUGUGUACAACUUAGACAUGCAACAUAACCAUAAAAUUUU
Molecule: long non-coding RNA, 358 nt
Filed under: Prunus persica (peach)
Lineage: Eukaryota; Viridiplantae; Streptophyta; Magnoliopsida; Rosales; Rosaceae
Description: long non-coding RNA (PPER_LNC003218)
Source: RNAcentral